AUGGUCAAUCCUAAUGCUAAUAUUCUUCCACUUGACAAAGCUUUCGAGAUGUUCUCGCGUGAGGAGGCUAAAUUGAUCAAGCUUGAUGCACCUAAAUAUGAAGAUCUGUUAGACAGGGACACAAUCUCGGAAAUCUAUGAUGACAUUGUUGCUUUCCGUGAAUACGUGGACAAAGUGCUGUUGAAAUUGCGCCACUUGCUUAAGAAGGCUGAAGCAGCACUAGAAACCGAAGAUGUGAUGGAGAAAGCUGCAACAAAUGGCGUUGACUCCAUGCAGGAAGUUGACCAUACAUGCUUAGCAGUAGACCUGGAAGUACCGAACCAACAAUGUCAUAUCACAGGUGUCGUAUAUGCUAAUCAGUUCAUGGUUGAAGUCUUCAAAAUCAAUCAACAAGGUCAAAACAUGAUGAUGCAGAUGGUGCAGAAAUCUCGCCACCCAGUAAAACGUGUAGAAGGAAUGAUGCAGGAAAAUGAAGCUGACAAUGCUAGUUUGGAGGAGCAGAGGAAUGCAAAAUUCUGGAUGGAGCCAGGAAUGACCUGA
RNAcentral lists this ribosomal RNA (540 nucleotides) under Triticum aestivum (bread wheat). RNAcentral describes it as "partial small subunit ribosomal RNA". The record is from RNAcentral. Lineage: Eukaryota; Viridiplantae; Streptophyta; Magnoliopsida; Poales; Poaceae.